GUAGCUUGGAAUUAUAAUUAAAAAAAAAAAAAAAGUGAACCUGUGAUAUCCAAGAAAUAAGGAGUCCACGUUGCAUUCUCUCAGACACGGCACUGUGACAAAAAUAAAGGCAAGGAGAGAGGGACACGUCCCAGUUGUCAUCUGUGCUAAUUGGGAGUGGGAAGCGUUGGCGAGCAUUGGAGCGGACGGUAUAGCGCUCAGAGCAGAAGGCUGGAACUCUGUAAGGCCACAUCGAGCUGCCUGUGCAGCUUCUUUACGAAAGAAGAAAACUGGGAAACAACAAAGUGUGAUGCCUUGGGGUCCUCCAGAUUUGAGUCUGCUGCCCUCUGUGUGCCUCGCUCCGAUUCCUCUCCAAAGGCAACCACAGUCCUCAAGUCAGUGUGUUUAAUUCUUAUGAAUAUUUUUAUAGUUUUAGUGUAUAUGGAUUUAGCCAUAAAAAAUACACUCCCUGUUUCCUUUAAUUUAAAAUUUAAAUAAAUGAUAUCAUAAUGUA
Molecule: long non-coding RNA, 493 nt
Organism: Mustela lutreola (European mink)
Lineage: Eukaryota; Metazoa; Chordata; Mammalia; Carnivora; Mustelidae
Exons: 2
Source: RefSeq, a predicted model, not a curated record